RNAcentral lists this ribosomal RNA (638 nucleotides) under Pleurotus ostreatus (oyster mushroom). Its description in RNAcentral is "LSU rRNA". It matches the Rfam family "Eukaryotic large subunit ribosomal RNA", at positions 36 to 675 of the family's 3401-position model. Lineage: Eukaryota; Fungi; Basidiomycota; Agaricomycetes; Agaricales; Pleurotaceae. The record is from RNAcentral.
UUGCAUAUCAAAAAGCGGAGGAAAAGAAACCUAACAAGGAUUCCCCUAGUAACUGCGAGUGAAGCGGGAAAAGCUCAAAUUUAAAAUCUGGUGGUCUUUGGCCAUCCGAGUUGUAAUCUAGAGAAGUGUUAUCCGCGCUGGACCGUGUACAAGUCCCCUGGAAUGGGGCGUCAUAGAGGGUGAGAAUCCCGUCUUUGACACGGACUACCAGGGCUUUGUGAUGCACUCUCAAAGAGUCGAGUUGUUUGGGAAUGCAGCUCAAAAUGGGUGGUAAAUUCCAUCUAAAGCUAAAUAUUGGCGAGAGACCGAUAGCGAACAAGUACCGUGAGGGAAAGAUGAAAAGAACUUUGGAAAGAGAGUUAAACAGUACGUGAAAUUGUUGAAAGGGAAACGCUUGAAGUCAGUCGCGUCUGCCAGGGAUCAACCUUACUUUUGUGAGGCGUACUUCCUGGUUGAUGGGUCAGCAUCAGUUUUGGUCGCUGGAUAAAGGUCAGAGAAAUGUGGCACCUUCGGGUGUGUUAUAGUCUUUGAUCAGAUACAGUGGCUGGGACUGAGGAACUCAGCGCCGCAAGGCUGUCUUAGGAUGCUGGCAAAAUGGCUUAURAUCGACCCGUCUUGAAACACGGACCAAAGGAGUC